RNAcentral lists this long non-coding RNA (1927 nucleotides) under Brassica napus (rape). RNAcentral's name for it is "long non-coding RNA (BNAP_LNC001714)". Lineage: Eukaryota; Viridiplantae; Streptophyta; Magnoliopsida; Brassicales; Brassicaceae. The record is from RNAcentral.
UCUGAACUUAAGUGGUUAGGCUUAUCAAACUAUUCGAUUCACUAGUUACUAUGUAUAUAUUCCUCAAUAGCCAAGUGAGCACAAUCUAACUACUAGACUGGAUUUAUAUGUACAUUGUUUUCAAGUGUGAGUUUUAUUCACCUGCCGAUGUAAAGAGAAUCCCGGAGGAAUAUCACGCCCAUUGCGACGGCAAUGGCAAUGGACAGAGGCUUGAACAUUGCAACGAAUAAAGGUCCCUUGAUCCUCAACGCCCACGUGUGGAUUGUAUUGUUUAUGCAAGAUCCAAACAAUCCCUAAACAUAUAAACAUAAACAAAAAUUUAUUGUAUACUAGUGUCGAGGAACACACAUCAACCCAUAGUUAUAUUCUCACCGAGCAAACGAUUGAUACUAAAGCUAUAUUUGGUUUUAUCUUCCAUGCACUCAAGUCACUCCCUUCAGUGAACAACGUGACCAGCCCGGUCCAAAAGCUCACUCCAAAGCUAUAAUAGCAAACAACGGUGAACUCGGAUGGAUACUCUCUCAUGAUUUGAGUCUACAAAGAGAAAUAUUAAGAUCAUAACAUGCAUAAAACAAUUACCAUAUAUAUAGAGGUGAAAUUAUAUAUAUAUAUAUAUAUGAAAAUAUAGUUUGAUUAAAGUCAGACCUGAACAAUAUACCACAACGGAACCAUGAAAUACUCGACGGCAAGAAAAGCCGCACCAAUGAUCCAAUCGUGGUUUGGAGAUUGCGAUCUCAGAGAAAUGGACGGUGGUGACAUAUUGAUCACCACAGGACCAUUGUAAAGAGUCACAAUAAAUGCUCCUCCAAUGGAGACUAUGGUUCCUAACAUUUUAGCCACACUACUUGUUCUCUUGAAAGAUACACUCUCCAUCCUAAUACCAAACUCCAAAUAAUUCAACAAAUGAUGCCUCAUGGGCUGAACUCAAUGCCCAAAUAUGCUUCAUGGGCCGAGGGUAUUUUAGGGAAUUGAUAGUGUAAAAAGAAUAUAUAAGAGGAUAAUAAACCUGAAAAGGAUGGCCAGCAAGAAGGUGAACGCAGGAGUGAGGUUGCUGAUUGCAGAAGCAAGUGUUGGAGAGCUAUAGUUAAUGCCUGUGUAGCCCAUUAUGUUUGAGCAGCAUCUACAUUAUUUUAACACCAUUUUUAUUAACUUAUUUAUAUAACAAAAUAGUACUAUUAGAUUUCGAUUAUAACGAAGAUGAAAGCAUCCCCUUUUUAAAAAUAGAUAAAAAUAAAUUAUUAAAAAGGAAAAACAAAAGAAAAUGGGGUAGAUUUUGCAGUACAGUUUGCUAAAAUUAGUACAUGUCCUUGUAUUUCCCCAUUAUGUUCUAACAGCAUCUAUAUUAAUUAAGAAUAUUUAAUUUAUUAGAUAACUAUGUAAUAAAGGGUUCGAUUUUAGAGUAAAAGUGAACCUGAUGGAGAAUCAAGGUCAGCUUCGUUAGCAUCCUCGUUGUUAGCCUUGUUGUUAUCUUCGACUAAGGCCAUUUCCUUAGCUUUGCCCCACAUCACCGUGUAAAACCCGAUCGUUAUUACCGUUGCCCCUAUCAAGCUGAGAUCAAAAACAUUCACCAGACAGUCCGCAAAUGGAAACAAAAUAGUUAACUAAAGCAGAAAAGAUUGGUCUGAACUUAAGUGGUUAGGCUUAUCAAACUAUUCGAUUCACUAGUUACUAUGUAUAUAUUCCUCAAUAGCCAAGUGAGCACAAUCUAACUACUAGACUGGAUUUAUAUGUACAUUGUUUUCAAGUGUGAGUUUUAUUCACCUGCCGAUGUAAAGAGAAUCCCGGAGGAAUAUCACGCCCAUUGCGACGGCAAUGGCAAUGGACAGAGGCUUGAACAUUGCAACGAAUAAAGGUCCCUUGAUCCUCAACGCCCACGUGUGGAUUGUAUUGUUUAUGCAAGAUCCAAACAAUCCCUAAACAUAUAAAC